This 460-nucleotide ribosomal RNA is filed under the name uncultured bacterium. RNAcentral describes it as "partial 16S ribosomal RNA". It matches the Rfam family "Bacterial small subunit ribosomal RNA", at positions 338 to 795 of the family's 1533-position model. The record is from RNAcentral.
CCUACGGGUGGCAGCAGUGAGGAAUAUUGGUCAAUGGCCGGAAGGCUGAACCAGCCAUGCCGCGUGAAGGUCAGUGCCCUAUGGGCGUUAAACUUCUUUUGUGCGGGAGCAAUAAUGGUCACGUGUGGCCCGACGAGAGUACCGUACGAAUAAGCAUCGGCUAACUCCGUGCCAGCAGCCGCGGUAAUACGGGGGAUGCAAGCGUUAUCCGGAGUAAUUGGGUUUAAAGGGGGCGUAGGCGGUGAGGUAAGUCAGCGGUGAAAUGCCCCCGCUCAACGGGGUGAAGUGCCAUUGAUACUGCCUUGCUGGAAUGCGGAUGCCGUGGGAGGAAUGUGUGGUGUAGCGGUGAAAUGCAUAGAUAUCACACAGAACACCGAUUGCGAAGGCAUCUCACGAAUCCGCGAUUGACGCUGAUGCACGAAAGCGUGGGUAUCAAACAGGAUUAGAUACCCGAGUAGUC